RNAcentral lists this transfer RNA (72 nucleotides) under Pangasianodon gigas (Mekong giant catfish). RNAcentral describes it as "tRNA-Glu". It matches the Rfam family "tRNA". Rfam says of the family: Transfer RNA (tRNA) molecules are approximately 80 nucleotides in length. Their secondary structure includes four short double-helical elements and three loops (D, anti-codon, and T loops). The record is from RNAcentral. Lineage: Eukaryota; Metazoa; Chordata; Actinopteri; Siluriformes; Pangasiidae.
UCCCUGGAGGACUAGUGGUUAGGCCACAGUGCUCUCACUGCUGUGGGCCGGGUUCGAUUCCUGGCCAGGGAA